AUUUUCAUUCAGUUAAUUGGUGUCGGCACCAUUAUGGGUUAUGGGAAGGCGGCAGCAACCUCGCACAACCAGAGGCAAAGAUGGCGUCCAACCUAAGUUCUGACUGGAGAAUUGAUGGGAAUUCUGUGUUUGUUGUACACAAGCUUGAGAUGAAUUAAUUCAAUGAUUUGUAUUGGCAACUUCAUGAGUUUGGUAAGAAAAGGUGCCUGCCAAUUCAAUCAUUUCAACUAGAAGCAAAGAUGACAUUGAACCAAAGUUCUGUGGAAAAGUGAUGGGUGUUGCAUAUAAAGAAGCUCAAGAUGGAUUCAAUCAUCAAUGGUAGAAGAAUGACAGCAGUUGGAGCAUGAUGAAGAACAGAUGGACGUUGGCUGAUUUGGACAGUUGAAUAAUUCAAGUAUCCAUUUUUGAAUUUUGUUAGUUUUUUUGGGGGGGGGGGGAGAGUAGAGUGAUGAAAUAUCUGCAGUGAUGUCCAUCAUUAAUAAUCAAUUAUAUCAAAGGGGUAUCCAUGCAAUUUAUUUAAAUUUUUGUUUCUUGAAAACAAAUGAAUGCAACACUUUUCUAGAAAUUCAUUACAUUUUGUGCAAAUGGUAUUAAUAGCUAUAGCCCCCACCCCCUUCCCCUGUUUGUUGAAGCCUUGUUUCUCUCCAUAUCUAAACACCCCUUAUUAUAAAGAUCAUUAAUGUUUGUUUGUUCAAAUGAUUGCAGAAGUUUAAGUCUAAGUUUCCAUGGGGGCCCUUGAGUUUUAUUGUUUGGAAGUGCAAAAUGCAAACCCCUCCUGGGAAAUUUUGGGAGUCACCGUUCCCCGUCCUUAGUGGUAAUAAGUUAAUAAGUUUAUCAGUUUAUUAGUUUAUUAUUGUAGUAUUUCAAUUCUGUGAUUUUCCAAGUUUCAGUCCGAUCGUUUUCCAGCGGAUUGUUUAGGAAUUCAGAUGUAUUUGGUUGUUGUAUGUGAUUGCUAUAUUUUUUAUGCUCAUUGGAAUGAAACAUUUUUUGUCUCCAGAAAUCUGCCUUGUAGGUUGUUUUUUAUUUAAACUUGUUUAUUUUAAAUAGAGUUGCUAGUAAAAGGGUUUCUAUACAUUGACUCGCGAUAAAUUGUUCCAAUGUUGCAUGGCGCUGUGGUCGAGUGGACUGCGCGGUGACCUCUAGAGGUGAAAGGUCACGGGUUCGAAUAACUUUCAAUUUUACUCGAAAAAUUUUUUUUUUCUUUCUUCAACUAUUUAAUUUUCAGAUAAUUUUUAAACAUUUUAAAGUCUAUUGGAGCCAAAAAGACUUAUUAAUGUUAACAACUCUUUUAUCCCGAAGCGCUUCAACCCACUUUGUUACUUGUGUAGCAAAGUACUAUACCCGAUUUGUUUUCCCCGAUAUGUUAAGUUUAAAAGAUGUGAAAAUUCGAAAAAUCCUCAAAAAUACUAGUUUUAUACAAGAAACAGUCAAAAAAACAUUUAUUUGCUUCUUUUUAAACCAGAUAACAUAUUUACGAAGUUUGUCUAUAUCGCAUUACAGCAAUGAUUGCCUUACAGCUAUCUCUGGAAAAGUAAAAUAUACUAGCACUUGUUACCCUCGUUGACCAAGCGACCCUGUGGUCCAGUGGUAUUAGUGGGUGACUGCUAAUGUCAAAGGUCAUGAGGUCGCGGGUUCGAAUCCCGGCUCAAGCGCUGUUUUUCCUCCAAAAAUUCAAGCGGCAUUCACGUGGACAGAUGGACAAUGGAACAAUGGAAGGACAAUGGAACAAUGGAAAACAAUAGGAAUUUCCAAAACAAUGGUGCAUUCAAAAUGGGAACAAAGAGCUGGGAUUCGAACAGGCGCAUGCGCUUCUCGGUGGGCGGUAGUCCCCGGCUCCGGACGUCCGGAGCCGGGGAAGACCGCUUACCGGGGGUUACCUACGGAGUCAGCAGGCUGGCCUCCGACUGAAAAGUCAGGGGGACAUGCUCGUCUCCGAGAUGAAAAGUAGGGGGACAGUCUGCACUCCAAGAGAAAAAACAGGGGGAAGGUUCAAAUUUUUUUUUUCAAAAAAAAAUUUACAAGUGUAAAGGGUCCCCCACUCCGCCCCGCCAUGCUGGGCCUCUCCCACGGAGUGCCCCAACGUCCCACCUGCACUGCAAGAUCCUGGUGAGCCCCAACCAGUCAUUCUUCGCUCCAUCUAUCUUACCAUCACUGCAGGUUGCCCUUUAUCCCUAAGGUAAGAGGAUUUAUUUUCUCCUGCACCAUCUCUUCGACUGCCCGUCAUUUUAACAAGUAUAUUGUACAACAAAGAACCAGUAUCAAAACUCAUCUCCUAAGGCCUAACUUAGCCUAUUUCUGAGGGGUAAAUCAUAUUGCACCAUUUCUCCCCGUUGCUGCAAGACACCAUUGGCUUACUGGGGGCACUGCCCUGCAAACCUAAAACAGACAAUCUAACCGGCCGAAAGAUCACACUGCUUUUAGGGGGAAAAAUUGAGAAUUUUUGUAAACAGUGCUAAAAUGCGCACUCCUUGCAGGUUGAUCGGUGUGAGAUGUGAGAGGUGUUGCAGACCCGUUGACCAAGACUACCAAAGCCUACCUACCAGCAACUUUGAUAACUUGACUAGUAAGGCCACUGUUCACAACGUCUACGCGCCACCCAGCAUUUCUCGUCAUUGCCCGGUACGUGCCAAGCACACAGAAAAAUCGUCCCGUUGCAGUGUUAUGGACGAGGGGAAAUUUGGCAGCGAAUGGUCGAAAAGAGCCUAAGCGUCGGCAGUUCAUCACGCAAUAUACUAACCAUAGAAAAAUAAAAUAGUUACUUAAAACACUGAGAGAAA
This is a non-coding RNA of Rhopilema esculentum, 2777 nucleotides long. NCBI's taxonomy places the organism in Eukaryota, Metazoa, Cnidaria, Scyphozoa, Rhizostomeae, Rhizostomatidae. The record is from RefSeq and is a predicted model, not a curated record.